GGUAGAUUUGAUGAAAACCAAUUAUACGUUGUGAUAAAUUAUACGGUAGCUCUUAUAUCUGUUUUAUGACUUUUUAUUUUAUCUAACUGUUAAGCUAUGAGGUUUAAUAGUAUUAAACAUUCUUUUUACUAAGUUUUUAAUAAAGGGUUAAAAUUACCCAUUUUUUAUAAAAGUGUUAUAACUUUAAUUAACUAGUUAACAGAAUUUUAUUUAGGGGUCAUAUAAAUUUAAUUAAUAGUUUUUAUUUAUGAUUAAAUAAGUAAUAAUAAUAUAAAAUUUGUUUCUCAAGACUCUCCUGUCUGUUUAUUAAAAACAUUUCCACAUUAUAUCUAUAUGUGGUAGUACCUGCCCUAUGCUUUGGUAAAUGGCCGCAGUAUCUUGACUGUGCGAAGGUAGCAUAAUUAAUUGCCUUAUAAUUGAAGGCUUGUCUGAAUGGUUUGACAAGGUGAUAUCUAACAUAUUUUAUUUUUAUGAAAUUAAUUUAGAGGGCACAGAAUCCUCUUAUGUUAAUU
This 512-nucleotide ribosomal RNA is filed under the name Polypocephalus helmuti. RNAcentral describes it as "partial 16S ribosomal RNA". The stretch from base 292 to 449 matches the Rfam family "Bacterial large subunit ribosomal RNA", at positions 1792 to 2012 of the family's 2925-position model. The record is from RNAcentral. Lineage: Eukaryota; Metazoa; Platyhelminthes; Cestoda; Lecanicephalidea; Polypocephalidae.